GGGCGAAGCCUGAUCCAGCCAUGCCGCGUGUGUGAAGAAGGUCUUCGGAUUGUAAAGCACUUUAAGUUGGGAGGAAGGGUUGUAGAUUAAUACUCUGCAAUUUUGACGUUACCGACAGAAUAAGCACCGGCUAACUUCGUGCCAGCAGCCGCGGUAAUACGAAGGGUGCAAGCGUUAAUCGGAAUUACUGGGCGUAAAGCGCGCGUAGGUGGUUUGUUAAGUUGGAAGUGAAAGCCCCGGGCUCAACCUGGGAACUGCUUUCAAAACUGGCAAGCUAGAGUAUGGCAGAGGGUGGUGGAAUUUCCUGUGUAGCGGUGAAAUGCGUAGAUAUAGGAAGGAACACCAGUGGCGAAGGCGACCACCUGGGCUAAUACUGACACUGAGGUGCGAAAGCGUGGGGAGCAAACAGGAUUAGAUACCCUGGUAGUCCACGCCGUAAACGAUGUCAACUAGCCGUUGGGAUCCUUGAGAUCUUAGUGGCGCAGCUAACGCAUUAAGUUGACCGCCUGGGGAGUACGGCCGCAAGGUUAAAACUCAAAUGAAUUG
RNAcentral lists this ribosomal RNA (546 nucleotides) under Stutzerimonas stutzeri. RNAcentral's name for it is "bacterial SSU rRNA". It matches the Rfam family "Bacterial small subunit ribosomal RNA", at positions 373 to 912 of the family's 1533-position model. Lineage: Bacteria; Pseudomonadati; Pseudomonadota; Gammaproteobacteria; Pseudomonadales; Pseudomonadaceae. The record is from RNAcentral.